Long non-coding RNA from Pezoporus occidentalis (night parrot), 5430 nucleotides. RefSeq lists it as uncharacterized. NCBI's taxonomy places the organism in Eukaryota, Metazoa, Chordata, Aves, Psittaciformes, Psittacidae. The transcript has 4 exons. The record is from RefSeq and is a predicted model, not a curated record.
AUUUGGAUACGAGAAGACAUUUUUUUUUUCUCUUUCCACUUCUGAUUUGUUUGUUGGAGCACUGCCUGCUCACCCUAUUUGGAUGUCAAGAGACUCUCUGUUUUUCCAUUUCUGGAAUAGUCAUUCACGACUCAGUGUUUCUUGUGCAAACCGUCAGAAUUUACAGUGUGUUUAUUGGUCUCUCACCAAAAGCAGUUUCUUUCUUGUAAUAUUUUGUUUCAAGGUUUAUCUCAGAUGCCAUUAUAUAGAUUUUGUUCACAAAAUAGUUCUAAGUUUAAGCGACUGUGUCCCUAAAGGGUCUAAGUAAUUAGAUAAUUAAAAUGUACGGGAUUUAUCUAACCUAUUGAACUAGCAAAAUUAAGACAUAAUUGAUGGGGUAAUGCAUUUUUAAUAGUAAUUUAGUGUGCAAAGGGUAUCAGUUGUGCAGAGUGUUGCAGGAAUGCACAAUAAAACAGUCACUGUGUUGAAGAGACCACGCUCAUGUUCUGUUUUUUGCCAGUUGUGCUUCACAUAUUAAGGGCAUCUUUGUGUAAAAGAGCUUGUAAAAUCUGGUAAAACAGGGGAGAACCAAUAACCCAGAAUGGGUGUUUCCUGAGAGUGCAGGUUAGGUGGUUUGAGUUUAGGGGUGUUGCAGUUGAAAGGAUAGUGGAGGUUAAGUGCAAGAUGACAGUAGCCAGAGCAUGGAGACCGGAAAAGGGCUGAGCAUUAUGAAGAAGGAGGAGUGAGGAAGAAGAGGUGUGUGGCAUAAACUGGAGCAGAAAUGGUAAGAGAAGAAAACACUGAAGGGAAGAUAAACAAACUGCAAAGCAGAAAAACAUAUAGACGUAUGACUGAAAGAGCAGCCUGUGGUAGAUUUUGUACCAGGGCCCAUUGCUGUUCUGCCCAGUGCCUAAUUAGCUUCAUACAGGGAAAUAAUAAUGAACUUCACAAUUGUCUCCUUUCAUUUUUACAACUAUGGAAGUUGAAGUGUGAAAGGAAGCUGUAGAAGCAAAUAGAGAUCUGGGGUGUGCUACAUGUACGGGAGCAUUGCCUGGGCCACUGAACAGUGCAAUGACGCAGGAGCUAUGUAUGGGAACCAGUAUUGUUACUCCAUGAAAUGAAGUAUCUGUCAAAUCAGACUUACCCUAUGACUGCUGUUCCUAUUUUACUUCUUCUCUGGCUUCCAUUAAAGUGUACAUCUUUAGGGUAGGCAGUUUGGGGGGGGCUGGCUCAAAAAGGAAAACUCCCAUCUGUCUUUUGGUUUGAGUGCUACCCUUCAAGCCUAAUGAACUGGUUCAUUAAGUUAGUAUAAUAAUCAUGUUUUAGACAUAGCCUAGUUUUAAGACCAGGCAUGAAAUAAUUCUUUGCUGAAAAUCAAGAAUGUUUGGGAAUCUUUCUUUUCUUUCUGUGGUCCUUGCUGGGUUUUGUCCAGGAUGUCCUUGGAAAUGUGAACUCCAGAUAUAUCAUGAGACAACCUGUGUUUUGUGCCAGCUGCAUGUUUCAGAAGAAAACACUGGAGGAGAUGGUUGAAUGUGCAUGCAGACUUCUGGAUGCUCAUCAGCAUUAAUUCCAAACUUCCUUUUUGGUUGCUGAUUGCUGAUCAGCGCUGUAAAGCAGCACAAACAAGACAGACAGCUUUAACCACUAAAAAUGCUCCCUCUUCUGCUCUCACAGUCUCUGUAGACCAGAAUUUUGUAAACAGCCAGAUGCAGUUUUGCUUCCAGAGAUAUCACAAUCCAGAUUUUGGUCCAACUAGCUAUUUCAGGCCAACUCAGACUCUACUGAAAGAUGGAUUUAUAAGGAAAAUGUUGUCAGAUCCUGGUCUUUUGUAACACCGGUGGGAGCCACGAUAAUAAUAAUGAUUUCCUUUAACAGUCUUCCAUCAAAUGUUCAAAGCAGUAGCUUUUCCUUUGGUACAAACAUCAAAAAUGUGGACAAUUUUGUUUCCUAAGCUUGGACAACAUCUGUGUUUCCACCAUUUCUAUGGGAAUGGAGUACACCCCCAAUUUUAUUUAAAACCACCUUUUUGGCUAAAGUGUGUGGUAUUGGAAGCACUUUCAUUCUGCCUCAUGUAUCUUGUUCUAGGAGGUUGGAGUCUGCCUGUUUCAUUCCUCCAGGACUUUUUUACUGUGAAGAGUGUAGAUGAGAACAGUGUUUUUCCUCUCAGAAUUCCUUCAAGUUGUUUGCCUAACCUAGACACCUUAAGUGUAUCUAAGUAGUUAAAUGAUUCUCAUUGAUAGUAAUGUUUUACUGCUGUUUAAGUUGCUUGUUGGCCCAAACCAGAAUCAAUUUGAGAGAUGACUGUAGUGAGCUCGGACAUCUGGAAAAAGUUAAACUGUAGCCUGGCUGCAGUUUAGUUCUUUACCUUCUGGGACAAGCCUCUUGCUUUGAACUGGGUUGGAAAUCUCUAAAUCAGUUCUGGAUGUGUGUGUGGAAAGAAGGAUAUAAGAGAAAACGGAGGAGGAUCUCACUGUUUCCAUUGCAUUUUUCUGAACUCUGCCCAGUUGGAAGGAAAGCACCUAUCUAAUGUCAGUUUAAAGACUGAGAAGGCUUGUCAGUGCACAGUAGAAGUUACAUCUUAAAAUGUGUACCCAUAUCCUGUAGGCAGGCAAUUUGUUCAUAAAAUGGCUGACAGGAAAACUGAGGAGAGAUUUGUGCUGGCUUAUGAUAUCCCACACAGAGCAAGAAAGUGCUUUCCAAAGAAGGAAGUAGCUUUUCUCUGAGCAAGAGAAGGGUAAAUGUUACACUCCUGUCUGUUUUGCUUUAGAGAUUGUAAAAAGGAUUGGCCUUCCUUGCAUGCCUCUCAUCAGGAAUGGAAAUAGGCAGGCUGUCUGAGGGAGUGGUCUUAUGUACAUGGAAACUGUUUUACGCAAGAAGAGGAGGCUGGUCCAGCAAAAGGUGUGGUUUUAUUUACAUCCAUGCUCUUCCCUCAUGAUUGGAGGGUGUUUGGAAGGUGUGGUCUCAUUUACAUCCCGCCUAGGCUGCCUUUGGCUCAUCUAGUUUCAACCCUUGUCUGUGGCUGGAAAAGGAGGGAAUUGCUGCAAGCAGAAUAAAAACUACUGUGUGAAAAAAUGUGACUGGUUUCUGCCUCUGUUUCUUCAGUGUAUGCAUUGCUGCUGGAAAUUAAAGCAUCUUGGAUCUGCAACAGCUUGACAAUUGGUCCAGACGCAUGUACAUGAGCAUCCAUAUUACUUUCACUGAGAACAGAGCUAUCAUGUUGCUUUGGUUGAGGGUGGAAAGUGGACAGAGUCCCUUCAAUGUGAAGCUCUGAUUUGUGGCUGUGUCCAGAAGCUCUGAACGCUGAAGGAGCUGCCACCAACAUGCUGGGACUGGCUGGGACUGGCUGUCCCUGCCAUGGCUGGAAGGACAACUUGGCUGCAACACGCUGUUGCUCAGUGCAAGAGCAAGAUGUUUCCAAGAAGAUAGCCUUGUGGGAUGUGCAGGUCGCAAUCCAUUUCUCUAAUUCUCACUGCUGCCUCUGAUUAUACUCCUGUAACUCAUGGUAAAAAUCUAGGUAUGACAACCUAAAGAUGCUAGCAUUUUAAAGUUACUCAGAACUCAUUUUUCAACUUUAGAUACCACUAAAUGCCUUCAUAGACAUCUGGCAAUGAGACAUUUCUCCUUUGCCCACAAAAACUUGGUGAACCUGGAAGUGCAGCUAUCUAUCACACUCUGGUGCAGAACAUGAAAGUUAAUCAAAUAUCUCCCUUCUUUUCUGUAGCCAAGGCAAGCUGAAGUGCACAAAAAUAAUUGCAUGCCGGUCCACCACAGGAGGAAAAGUGUCUGGCACUGUGUCCCUGGAUUGCAGAAAGGAAGGAGAGCCAGAAAGUUUGUUGUCAGGAUUCCUUGCACGUACUCUGGGACUGCAGCUGAAGUUUUUAAGUUACACACACAUACUUCUGAAGACAGGUACUUCAGAUGAUGUAGCCCAAGUGAGUGAUAUAUGCUAAGGAUCCCAAUGUAAAUUUACCUUUCUACACCUGAGGAGCUGACCGGUCUAAACUGCCAUCGCAGGAGCUGUGGAAGGAAAGUUGACGCCCUCCUCAAAGCAGCAAUGGAACUGUAUGAACCUGAGGUCUGUAAAUGCUGGAAAGAAGAGGCAGGAAAGGACUGCCUGCUAAUAAAAGGGGGAUGAGUGUCCAGGAAAGCAGGUGAUGACAUGGGCAUGUGGGACUGAUGGCAGAGCUCUUCCCGCAGCGUCUGAAGUGGCCAAAGACUACUCCGUCUUGUGGGAAUUCUCCAGCAGUGAAUCCUUUUGUCUGGCAUACGUUCACUUUGUUUAAUGCAAGAUUGAUGAAACAAACCAGACAAUUUGGCCUUCAGAUGCUAUAAUUGUGAACAAACUGUCCAGAACAAAGAUAUUUGGAAGACACAAACCUCACAAUCCUCUCUGACUUUUGAUUUUCCUUUCCCCAUGUUGAAUUCAUUAAUUUAGGUAUUUCGAACCAUGAUUUAAGGAAGGCCUUAACUCUGUGGAUACUGACUUCUACCAGUUCUUACAAUCGCUCCAUGGGUGGGAUUUUAGAAAAUACUCUGAGGUUGGUCUGCAGGAGAAUCCCAUUUUCCUUGUCUAAUUUAAUAGGUACAGGAUGGAAUUUUCUUUUCCACACUCUCUUACAUUAAUGAAACAGUCCAGGCUGUAACAAAUAACUGAUGUCACCACAGUUUAGAAAGUACAUAUUUAAAUGAAACUAUAAUACAGCCUUCUUACAGAUUGUGAAACUGGACAGCCUGCAACCAUCUGGCACUCCACCUCUGAAAGAAUAUCAGUAAAGACAAUGCAGUUCUUUCUGUAAGAGUGCCACCAUCUAGAUGCAGCCAUCACAGAAAGCCCCUUUCUUAAGUCAAGCUUUAUUCAACUUUCAAAGCGCAUGUGAAAAAUAAAUGUUAUUUCCAGUGCAAGCCAAAUAGUCAUAACUAUUACAUCCUUAAAUCACACUUUAUGCCUGCUUGUAUUAGUACAGGCAGUAGGAAAAACUGCAUCUCAGACGCAGCCCCAGCAAGAUUAAAUAUACUGCAAACAAGAUUAAAUAUGUUGUAUACCUCAGGGAGAAAAAGAAGUGUGGAGAGGUGGAAAUCAAUGCACAGCGGAGUUGCAUGCUGAUUAAAUUUCCCCUGAGCUGGCUUUGAUGGUCCAGGUGAGGACCUCUACUUUAGGUAUCAAAACUACUUCUUUCUAGUGAAAACUUGAAGUCAACUCCACUAAUAGGCGCUUCCAAUCUAAAAAACCUUGAAGGCAGUUUUUCUGCUCAAGGGAAGCAAAACUGCUAAUUUCAUAAAAUCUUAACCACAUUAGGAAAUAAUUAGAAAUUCAUGUCAUGAAGACAGACUUGUCCUGUAAUGACUCACAGUAGUAAUAUGGAAGGAGGAGAGACAAUGUGUUUGGUUAUAUAAGAAGCAUUUGGGUUUUCAUUUAUGACCUUCUUACUAAUGCAGGUCUUUGUAGGUAGA